RNAcentral lists this transfer RNA (97 nucleotides) under Puccinia sorghi. It matches the Rfam family "tRNA". From Rfam's summary of the family: Transfer RNA (tRNA) molecules are approximately 80 nucleotides in length. The record is from Rfam by way of RNAcentral. Lineage: Eukaryota; Fungi; Basidiomycota; Pucciniomycetes; Pucciniales; Pucciniaceae.
GGACGCAUGGCCCAGUGGUAAGGCGCUCGCCUUCGAUAUAGGUGGAGAACUCCCUCUUGUGAGCGAGAGAUCGUCGGUUCGACCCCGGCUGCGUUCA